GACGAACGCUGGCGGCGUGCUUAACACAUGCAAGUCGAACGGAAAGGCCCUGCUUUUGUGGGGUGCUCGAGUGGCGAACGGGUGAGUAACACGUGAGUAACCUGCCCUUGACUUUGGGAUAACUUCAGGAAACUGGGGCUAAUACCGGAUAGGAGCUCCUGCUGCAUGGUGGGGGUUGGAAAGUUUCGGCGGUUGGGGAUGGACUCGCGGCUUAUCAGCUUGUUGGUGGGGUAGUGGCUUACCAAGGCUUUGACGGGUAGCCGGCCCGAGAGGGUGACCGGCCACAUUGGGACUGCGAUACGGCCCAGACUCCUACGGGAGGCAGCAGUGGGGAAUAUUGCACAAUGGGCGGAAGCCUGAUGCAGCAACGCCGCGUGCGGGAUGACGGCCUUCGGGUUGUAAACCGCUUUCGCCUGUGACGAAGCGUGAGUGACGGUAAUGGGUAAAGAAGCACCGGCUAACUACGUG
Molecule: ribosomal RNA, 468 nt
Filed under: uncultured bacterium
Lineage: Bacteria
Description: partial 16S ribosomal RNA
Rfam family: Bacterial small subunit ribosomal RNA
Source: RNAcentral